Molecule: ribosomal RNA, 414 nt
Filed under: uncultured prokaryote
Description: bacterial SSU rRNA
Rfam family: Bacterial small subunit ribosomal RNA
Source: RNAcentral
GUGUCAGCAGCCGCGGUAAGACGGAGGAGGCUAGCGUUGUCCGGAUUGAUUGGGCGUAAAGCGCAUGUAGGCGGGGCCUUAUGUCGGUGGUGAAAUAUUCCCGCUCAACGGGAAAACUGCCGCCGAAACUGAGGUUCUUGAGGGCAGGAGGGGAGAGUGGAAUUGCUGGUGUAGCGGUGAAAUGCGUAGAGAUCAGCAAGAACACCCGUGGCGAAGGCGGCUCUCUGGACUGUUCCUGACGCUGAGAUGCGAAAGCCAGGGGAGCGAACGGGAUUAGAUACCCCGGUAGUCCUGGCCGUAAACUAUGGUCACUAGGUGUCGGGAGAUCGACCCUCUCGGCGCCGUAGCUAACGCAUUAAGUGACCCGCCUGGGGAGUACGGCCGCAAGGCUGAAACUCAAAUGAAUUGACGGGG